This 468-nucleotide ribosomal RNA is filed under the name uncultured bacterium. Its description in RNAcentral is "partial 16S ribosomal RNA". It matches the Rfam family "Bacterial small subunit ribosomal RNA", at positions 28 to 507 of the family's 1533-position model. The record is from RNAcentral.
GACGAACGCUGGCAGCGUGCUUAACACAUGCAAGUCGAACGGAAAGGCCCUGCUUUUGUGGGGUGCUCGAGUGGCGAACGGGUGAGUAACACGUGAGUAACCUGCCCUUGACUUUGGGAUAACUUCAGGAAACUGGGGCUAAUACCGGAUAGGAGCUCCUGCUGCAUGGUGGGGGUUGGAAAGUUUCGGCGGUUGGGGAUGGACUCGCGGCUUAUCAGCUUGUUGGUGGGGUAGUGGCUUACCAAGGCUUUGACGGGUAGCCGGCCUGAGAGGGUGACCGGCCACAUUGGGACUGAGAUAUGGCCCAGACUCCUACGGGAGGCAGCAGUGGGGAAUAUUGCACAAUGGGCGGAAGCCUGAUGCAGCAACGCCGCGUGCGGGAUGACGGCCUUCGGGUUGUAAACCGCUUUCGCCUGUGACGAAGCGUGAGUGACGGUAAUGGGUAAAGAAGCACCGGCUAACUACGUG